CCCUAGCCCCGAUAGUAAUGGAAAUCCUUUUGUGCCGGGGUUCGGCACAAAAGAUUGUAAUGAAUAGCGGGAUUAGCU
This 78-nucleotide small RNA is filed under the name Flavobacterium sp. 5. RNAcentral's name for it is "Flavo-1 RNA". It matches the Rfam family "Flavo-1 RNA". The record is from RNAcentral. Lineage: Bacteria; Pseudomonadati; Bacteroidota; Flavobacteriia; Flavobacteriales; Flavobacteriaceae.